Molecule: long non-coding RNA, 1368 nt
Filed under: Oryctolagus cuniculus (rabbit)
Lineage: Eukaryota; Metazoa; Chordata; Mammalia; Lagomorpha; Leporidae
Description: lncRNA (ENSOCUG00000032269.1)
Source: RNAcentral
AUGGACUUGCUGCUCCUGCCAGGGCCAAGGCGGGAAACCACCAGGAGCCGCCGAGCCCAGCUUCUUUGGGACAAAAAGCAGCGCAGGAAUUUAAUUUCCCGGGCGAUUAACUGGCGCCUCUGGGGAUUAGCGGUGACCGCAGCCUCAUGGUCGCGUGGCCCAGCCCUUAGUCCACGAGCAGCCACGGCGCCUCGCAGGUUUCUGAUUACAAGGAAAACCCACAGCACAGCAAAGCCUGCAGGCAGAGAGCAGGCGGCCCCAGGAGUGCUGGCUGCAGCCGAGGGGGUGGCUCCUGGCGCUGCUGGGAGAGUGGCCUGGGUUUCAUUUUGGUCUCUGGAGGGAACAGCACAAAGCAACAGGCAGCAUUUGUGUGAGGAAACCCGGCCCCCGCCCCUGCCCUGCCCUGCCCCUACCCAGCCCUGCCCAGCCCAGCCCUGCCCAGCCCUGCCCCUACCCAGCCCUGCCCAGCCCAGCCCAGCCCUGCCCUGCCCCUUCCCAGCCCUGCCCUGCCCUGCCCCUGCCCCUUCCCCUGCCCAGCCCAGCCCUGCCCAGCCCUGCCCUGCCCCUUCCCAGCCCUGCCCCUACCCAGCCCUGCCCUGCCCCUUCCCAGCCCUGCCCUGCCCAGUCCAGCCCAGCCCCAGCCCCGAUUUGCCCUGCCCCUGCCCCUUCCCCUUCCCCUGCCCUGCCCAGCCCUGCCCAAUCCAGCCCCUUCCCAGCCCUGCCCAAUCCUGCCCAAUCCAGCCCCUGCCCUGUGCUCCCUGCCACCGGUUCUCGUCCAGUUCUCCCCGAGGACGGUCAUCUCCCGGGCCUUGUCCUGCCCACGUAAUCUCACGCAGUUUCCUGCAGCACAGGGCCAGGGCCCAGGCCAGCCUGGGUGAGGCUCCCGGGGGCUGCCCCCGGUUUUCUUCUGGGUUGGGUUCCAGGCUACAAGCCGCCCGCAUGGCUCCUCCUCCUGCAGGCUGGGAUUUCUCUGGGAGAGGUGGGAGCCCUUCCGGGACCAGGACCCCUGUGGAAAGAGAGGCACAGAUCCCUACGUUUGAGCUAUGUGAGGGUGUGUGCAUCACGUGUGUGCUGUAUGUGCACAUGGCAUGGGAGUGUGUGUUGUGUGUAUAUGCCGUGUCUGUGAGUGUACUUCUGCAUGCAUGUGUGCGCAUUGCGUACACGUGUUCAUGCAUGAAUUGUGUGUGUAAAGACUGUAACACACAAUGCCUGGGAUGCGCCGGGCUGGAGACCCGCCCCUCUCUGAGCUGUGCACUGUAUCUGAUGCUACAGUCGGGUCACACUCCGGCAGCGUGCUCGGAGCAUCUCCCUCACCUGUACUGUGCGCGUCUGGCCGAGCCCCUGCUGACACCUGGCCCCCGGCAGUGA